CAUUUGGGUGAGUAUGCCAUGAAACAAAGCAGGACAGCUAAGAGGAAAGAAAAUGCUGAUGUAGAGUCAACCCUUCAUGGCCUCCUUCCUCACUGAAAAUACAACAGCAAGGUGAUUUCUGGUAGCGCCCAUAGUGUAGGAGCACUCACAGCUAGGAGUUCUCUGGCAGCUGAAAACUAACUACCUGCACUGAGGAGGCUGAAAAUGUAGGCUGAAGCAGGGGUAAAUUAAGAAAAACAGGAUCACAGAAUCAUAGAAUCGUUUUGGUUGGAAGAGACCAUCAGGAUCAUCAAGUGUAAACACAGUGUAACUCUAGCACUAAACCAUGUCCCUAAGAACCUUGUCUAAAUGCCUUUUAAACACCUGCAGGGAUGGUGACUCCACCACUUCCCUGGGCAGCCUGUUCCAAUGCCUGACAACCCUUUCCAUUAAUAAAUUUUUCCUAAUAUCCAAUCUAAACUUCUCCUGGCACAACUUGAGGCCAUUUCCUCUUGUGCUAUCACUUGCUACUUGGGAGAAGAGACCAACCCCCUCCAUGCUACAACCUCCUUUCAGGUAGUUGUAGACAGCAAUAAGGUCUCCCCUCAGCCUCCUUUUCUCCAGGCUGAACAGCCCCAGUUCCCUCAGCUGCUCCUCAUCAGACUUGUGCUCCAGCCCCCUCACCAGCUUUGUUGUCCUUCUCUGAACUCUCUCCAGCACCUCAAUGUCUUUCUUGUAGUGAGGGGCCCAAAACUGAACACAGGAUUCAAGGUGGGGCCUCACCAGCAUCAAGUACAGUGGGAUGAUCACUUCUCUAGUCUUGCUGGCCACACUAUUCCUGACACAAGCCAGGAUGCUCUUGGUCUUUUUGGCCACCUGGUUACACAGCUGGCUCAUGUUCAGCUGCUGUCAAUCAAAACCCCCAGGUCCUUUUCCCCCAGGCACUUUCCAGCCACUCUUCCCUGGGCCUGUAGCGCUGCCUGGGGUUGUUUUGACCCAAGUGCAGGACCCGGCACUUGGCCUUGUUGAACCUCAGACAAUUGCUCUCAGCCCGACAACCCGGCCAGUCCAGAUCCCUCUGUAUUGCCUUCCAUGACCAUGGCACAGUCAUGGUCAGACAUAGCUCAGAACACAGGGGCAGCUCUUAAGAUGCUGCCCAAGCAGGACACAGUGCUCAGCAAAUUUAUCAUGAACAAAUUUUCAAGAAGAGUUUGAAUCUUAGUUGAGUUGUUGAAAGAGAGAUUAUGGAGACAUCACUUCAUGCUUCAUGUGAACUAGAAGGAAUUUACUGAGAUAUUUAUAUGGGAUCAUGCCAAAUGUCCUGUAUAGGACAAGAAUAACCCCACUGCCAGCAAGACAAGGUAAUCUAGCAGUAAAGAGGUGUUAAAAUGCUCCACACCUGCCCUUGUGAAAGUGAACUGGUAUCAGGUACAAUAAAAGGCAGUCAAAUCUUAGUCCAAGUGGAACUUGGGUUUCUUUUUCUAGGGCCCAAUCUGGUACUGCUUUGAUACAAAAAAGGGAAGGAGAGGAAAGAAAGAAAGGAAAGAAAGGAAAGAGUGAAAGAAAGAAAGAGAAGCAGUGUUUGAUUUCCUGCUUGAAACUGGGUUCUGUUUGUUUUGGAAGAAAAUUUUCUCUGUACAAUGAUGACUCACAAGCUGCAAGUCAAAGAAGAUAAGAAGAAAUAAUCACCAGGGAAAUGAAACACAGAAACAGAAACAAAAAAGCCUGAAGUGCUUCAGGUCCAUGGGACUGAGAGAAUAAGUGUGUAUCCUGUGAUGCACUUGGUUGUAUGACAGUAGUUUUCCUCCUGCGUUUCCGUCUCACUAAAAUUAGAGGUUGGAGCUUGGGGGAUGUGAGUUCAGCUUCUGAUUCUGCAAAGCUUCCUGUGAGGUAUCAGAUGAAUUCUCAGAUCUCUCUGGGUCUCACCUGUACAACAGUAAUAACAUUCUUUGUCUGUUUAAAUUACUCCUUCUUCCUAUGAGUUUCUACUGGACCUAUGGUAACAGGGCCCUAAUGUAUCAUUAGACUCUCUAGCUGCCACUGUGCUAUGAAUAAUAAUGCUUAUUAAUCAUAAUAAACACGUCAGCACUGUCAGAGAGUGUGCACGGAGCAAGGAGAGCAGUGUCUGACAAUCACAUCCUGCCAUGUAAAGCUUGAGGUGGAAAAGGAGACUCAUUCUGCAGACAAUAUAAAACCCAGAGACGGCCAAAAUCUUCCUGCAGGCAAUGUUGGAGGAAAGAGAAAAGGUCAGUUUUGUUCUGAAAAAAAUAAGGCAGCAGCAUCCUGUGUGUUGUCUCUCUCUAAUGUGCCAAGACAGCUCCUGACAUUUACAGCUUGAGUAGUGAGGGAUCUGAGUUUGUGUCCAGUCCAAAAUAUAUAUAAUAACAGUAGUAAACCCUAAUUUAUAGGCUGAAAUCACCUAAGUUUACUCAUUAAGUCUUUCUGUCUUCUCCCUCCUUCAUCCAAGUCACCAUUUUGGUUAAGAGGCAAUGAAGGGCAGGAUUUAAGCCAUUCAAUCUGAUAAUCCCAAUUACCAGUCCUGUGUGCCAGCAAGUGAUGGACCGGGUCCUAUUUAUGAAUCACCAUAGCGAGAGAAAGGUGGAUUGAGGUCCACCUGGGAGAACCUCAUACUUUGAACACUCAAGAAUUUGAUCCUAUGGUAAGGCACAACUCAAAGUGGGCCAGGUUGGACCUCGUUUGCCAGAGUCGUGUGAAAAACUGAGAUCUUUCCAAACUCAGCUGUGGUGGGAUCCACCCUUGCCCAUAUAAAAUAGUUGCUGCUGCAUACAGUGGGGAGGUAAGUUCAGAUUUUGGACUACUUGUCCUAAACCAAGAGAGAUAAAUCCUUUGAAGCUACUGGAGUUACUUGAGACUUCAGCUGGUGUAAAGGAGGUCAGAACCUGCUUCUAGGUCCUUUGAUUGAAUCUCAUUGCUUGAUCUUUGCUGGAGAUACUUGCCGCAGAGUUAGUCAUCUUUGUGUCCUGAACAGACCUCACAGCACUCUCUAUGAAUCAGAAUUACCUGCUGGGAGGAAUGGUCUGUGAGCUACAGGGUUGGAUUUGGGAACAAAUAAGAAGGAAAUUCUGUAUGUUGAGAAGCUAAUCAACCCAAAAUCUGCAAAAAGUAAAUGGUUUGCUGUGCAAUCAGGAAACAAGUUUCCCUUCUUACCUGAUUGCCUGUGGGUAAUUACAGGUGGCUGAUUUCUUCUCCCCUGGAGCAAGCCUGAUCCUUUGCUCUGGUGUAAUCCACUCCUGGCCACCCCUGCCAGCCCCACCAGUGUGGGAGCCAGACUGGAGCAGGACCUUUGGCCAUCGCCACAGAGCAACUACCAGCACUGACCUCCGACUUUCUUCGACAACAUCUCCUCAACUCUGUAGCCCAAGCCAGGAAUCGUUGGCCUUAACUCAGGAAAGUGUAUGAAUGUCCAUUUUUCUAUUAAAUUCAUAUCAAGUUGGUGCUACUUUAAAUGCUGAAAGAAGUUGGACACUCAAAACCCACUGAAUAUCUGUGGGAUCUGAAGGCUCAGUUGCUUUGCAAAUCUGAGCUUCAGAGGUGUCCUGGUAUGUGAACUCAGUCAACAUGUCAUGUGUGACUGCCUGUAUAAUUUUCUCACUGUGGCACUGCCAAUACCUUUGUGCAUAUCAAUCACUCCCCGAUUGUUUUGAAACAAAACAAACGUUAUUUGCAAAGCAUGUCUGCUCACAGCAGUUCUCCAAACUGUUUUCAUUGUGUGCAUCACCCAUGCCAGGAAAACGUGUAUAUCUCCAUGUAAAAACCAUUUGUGUGCCCUACCUUCAUCAGUCCACACUACUCAACCUGUGGUCCACCCCCUGGGUUAUGCCAAAGGACGGUGAUGAUGCAUUCGCUGCUGUGUUCCCGUUGCUGCUGACAGACAGCAACAGCCAUGAUGGAAGCAACAAAAAGCCCCACGAUUACUUAACACAUGCCCUUGCAGCAAACAGCCCCUGGAAUUUCCAGCUGCUCCCACGCUGUGCCAGGCUCUCGGUACACCUUGCUAAUCCCCCAGCACAAGCAUUUCUGCAAGAGAAGAAAUACUGCUUAGUUCAGGCAGGAGAACAGCAAGGCAGAAAAACAAAGCUUUGCCUUAAGCCACCAUUUCAAAUCCGUGGUGGAGACUGUAACAAAUGCCAGGAGAUUCCCAGUCCCUUGUUUCAGCCACAAGGCAAAUCCUAUUUUUGCAGCGACUUGAGUAGCUCACUAAGACCAAUUGACUGUAGCAUUCAAUUAAUCUUUACAAGCUUUGUGGCACUGUGGUUUGCCGGGGAUCCCAGAGCGCAAAAUAAUUUUCAUUUUAACCGUUUUUUAGCUGUGGAUAUUAAAGACAUGGGUGGAUUGAAAUAACCCCACGUGGUGCAUCUGUGAUUUCUACACCUUUUUCAUUGUCUUUGAUGUGGGAGCUGGACCAGCAUGUUCUCCAUGUCAGUACACCAUCUAAUAUGUUGUUUAAAGAGUUGCUGUAAUGUCAAUACUACAGGGUAAAAAUGUGUCAGCUUAUGUUUUAUCUAAACAGAGAGCACAAAUGCUUACCCUGCGCUGCCUUCGGGAGAAGUGGCCAUGGCUGGGGACAAAGCCGUGGUGGCAGCCAAACCAUGUCUGAUCCUGAGAUGUCACCCUUGACAUACAGUCCUUUGGGCAAAGUCAUUCAAAAGGACAAGCAGAAAAUCAUACCACAGACUAAGACACAGAACCUGCAUCUCUCAGCAGACUGGAUGUGACAGAUAGAAUAAGACCCCAGGAUCCAGCCAUGGUAAAAAAUAAAAAGGUUGGUUUAAAAUAUUGCUGGUUUAGUAAGUGGAGAGAUUGGAGAACCCUGUGUCAUUAAGAGGGUUAUUGUUUUACCCCAAUUUUUCCCCAGUGUUAAUGCAGUCAGAUUGAACAACCACAUCCUGACCUCAUCAUAAGCAGAUGAGACCUGCUUUGCCAUGGAGUAUGUUUGUCCCCAUGGAUGCUGGAGAGCCACCCAGUCUGUGCAGAUGGCUCUUGUGUUUGGAAGAGCUGAGUGAGCUGCUUCUCAUCCUCACAUGGAGCUAAAGCUAGCAAAGAUUGGGUGGACUUUCCUUUGCAGCAGCUCUCCACAGACAACACGGUGUGUAUCUGGCUUUCCUUGCUCUUUUCCAUCGCCUUUCCUAUGUUGUCAGUGUACCGCCCUCUCACGAGCAGGAGACCUCUGCAAGUCCUCCUGUCCCCCGCGUGGUGCUGGGACCUUCCUUUUCCCUCUCAGCCCUCUUUAGCAGGGUCCUACUUGAGCUUGCCAUGGACAGCAGACACAUCCCCAUUUAAUUCUACUCGUCUGUGUUGUAUUCUUCCUUUCUGUUUUCCAGGAUUAAUUUUUUUUCAGCCUUCUCAGGUAUAUCAUUGUCAUGGAAGUUGUUUUACUCACCUCUGAGUUGUAGUAUAUCAAUACCAAUGACAGAACCCAAGGAAAUGGCAGGAAGAUGUGCCAGGGGAGGUUUAGAUUGGACAUUAGGAAAAGGUUCUUCACCCAGAGGGUGCUGGAGCACUGGAACAGGCUCCCCAGGGAGGCGUCACAGCCCCAAGCUUGACAGUGUUCAAGAAGAGACUGGACAACACCCUCAGACACAUGGUGUGAACUGUGGGGUUGUCCUGUGCAGGGACAGGAGUUGGACUUGAUGAUCCUUGUGGGUGUCUUCCAACCCAGGACAUUCUGUGAUUCUAUGACACUAUAGCACACAUAAAAUUAAGGCCUUUGGACCAUUUAAUUUCCAUUUCCAUUCUCUUUCUUUUCCCUUAAGACUUGCUCUGUGACUACUUUUGCAGCUAUGACCCUGUACUAUAUGAACUAAGAUUGGUCGUACAUGUUUUUACAGAGGGAAGAAAAUUUAAAGGACAUAAAGGCUGAGAAAAAUGUGCUCCAGGGGCUGCUGUGCCAGCUUGUGACUUGGGAGAGCUGUUUCCACAUCCUGUUCAGACUUUCCUCAUGACCUUUAGUGAGUUAUUUAGGACCUGAUCCUCCAGGCUCUUCAAACCUUGGAAGGCCUGGGGGAUUUGGAUGUGUCUACUUUGCAGAAAUAUCAGCUGGCUGUGCAGACUGGGAUUCAUCAGGGGUUGGUUUGUCUUGCUGUGAAUAAGUAAGUGCUUAAUUAUGAUUUAUGAUUACUUUAAACUGGAUAUUUCUGUUACAUCUCUACAAAACUGCAGCCACUUUUUGAUUGUAGUGAAGACAUGCACUUAGUGUCACUGCAGACCUGCCAAGGGUACACAUGCACUGAAAACUGGGGGACGAUUAGGGAAUUCACAGAAAUUAGCACCAACUGAGCAUGGCAAAAAGUCCUUCAUGUUUGGAAAUAAGAUUAUGCUAAACCACAAAGUGAGUCAGCAAUUGUUUGGCUUGAACAAUACCAGGGACCAGGCUGGUGGAAAAUCAACACUGUGAAGGUGUUGGAGUGGUCUUGGGAAUUAUUAUGGUCCAGGGUAGCAGCACUCUCUUAAACAAAGGUUCCAGAGUUAGCCUGGAUCAGGGAAUACUAAUAGUAGGAAGUUUGCACAUGCUGUGGACAAAGACACUUAAACACCUCCCGGUGAACACAAUGAGGAAGAAUCUGUUAAUUUAAAGAAUCUCAGUGAGUUUCUGUCAAGUCCAUCGUCAUUUCAAAGUGGCUGCACCUUACACAAGUAGUCUGAAGGAGUAGAAGGAUAAAAAGGUUUUUAAUCCACCUUAUUACAUGAGCCGCGAGAAGACCAACCAGAUCAAGCUCUGCACAUGAGUAGAAAACCUUUGUGGAACCUGACAAGGCUUAGUUGUGCACUUGAUGUCUACAGAGACAUUUCUGGUCUCACCCCCAAGUCAUCCCUCAUGGUGCCCUACAAAUAACUGUGAUUCUAGCUCCUCUUUCCCUUCCCCUUAACCCCACUUACUAGCUAAAAUCCCUGCAUCCUCAUUUUGUUACUAUGUUAUACUCCUUCACCCAGAAGGUACCUUAAGACAACAAGAUGCACUUGAGUUCUCAGGGCUGAGGCCUAAUAUUCUGACCUGGAUUAAAAUGUGCUACAUAAAUAAAGCUAAUUUUUGCUUUAUUUUCUAGGGGAAAUCUCACUGAGGUGUGUCUUUUAGGCUUUAUCCAGGUCCAAGAGGAGCACAUCUAUGUAAUACAGGAGUCCUGAGCUCACAGCGCUGCCCAAGCAUGGCCAGCACUCUUCAGAAUGAGGCCUCUGAUCUACAGGUCAACGAUUGCUCAGGGAAAACAAAACUAACUUUGAGACCUUUGUCGAGGCCCACAGUAAAGAUUCAAUGAAAAGGAUGAUUCGAGAAGAAACUUUUCAGAGCAAAUCAACGCUUCCACCAAAAGACACUUUUGGGGAGAAAGCGGGCUUGAAGUUUAAAGAACAUAUAUUGUGAAAAAUGGUUACAAAAGGAGGUAUCUAGUGUUUGAAAUAUCUGGCCUUGCUAUGCUUUCACCGAUCGUUGGGCUGUAUCAGGUGCAGGUGGAUGGCUUUGCUUGGUUAAAUCAACAUGAUGGUCCUUGUAACACUGGCCUGACUGUACGAAAAGAAAUUACAAACAGGUGCAUAUCACAGUCGAGCUUUUGUGACCAGCAGCAAAGUGCAACUUAGAGUGAAGGGUAACAGAAAAGCAGAAAAACAUGAAUUUGGGGAUUAAAAAAACCAUGGUAAGCUCAUGUGGCUGCCUUCUCAGUUUGAUUUCUGCUUGGAGUUUAUUAUUUUCAACUGAGUUCUGAUUUCUCUGGGUGGAGACAUGAUCUAGAAGAGAAAUUCUGGCUUUGAAGCACAUUUCCAUGAGUAAAACAUUGCAUUUCCAACUUAGCACUGGUUUCUGAACACUAAAUGCAGCUUUGCAGCUUCUCAACAGAAUCAAAGGUAAAUAACAAAAUAUAAUUUGCAGAAAAAAUUAGUUCAGGUUGCCACUGUAGAGCAAGCCUAGGAUGGACCUCCUGAGCCUCACGCCCUGAUGUUCACAUUACAUCAAUAGUGAAGGGAAAUGAAGAAAUAAGGAAAAAACAAUCUCUCUGCAUCAGUGUGUAACUGUGCUAUAUUUUAUAGAUGAAUGAUAAUGCUUAAUGGCUUCAGAAUAAAGAGAGGAGCUCGGGGUCUCCAUUGAAUGUCACCUCUGAGCACUGUAGUGCAAUAUUUUUGAUAUAAUUCGAAUCUGUGCAGGUCUAAUUCACUCAUGCUUCAGCCUCUGAAGUGAGGAGGUGCGGGAGUGGGGUCACAGCCAGAGUGAGAGCGAGUCAGUGAGUUUAAAAGAAAAAUAACAUUAGUAGAUGUGAACAUGGUGUCAGUCUGAGACCCUCACGGACGGCUCCUCUCUCUGCUGCACUCAGGCUGAGAGUGGCUUAGUGAAUUCAUAGCUGUGAACUGCUUUGAGAUUUCUAUGGGAGAGGAAAGCAGGUGUCAAACAUUGUUAUUUACACUGCGUAAUUGCAUAAGGAAAAUCCUAGAAUCAGAUGGAUUCCCUUAAUGAUCCUUUUUCAAGCCUUUCUAGCUAUAAAUAGGUUUGUAAGUUUAAGAACUGGAAAUAAGCCACCAGCACUGCGACUGACUAUUGUGAGGAGGUUUUAUUAAUUUUGGUUUGGGGGAAGGGGCUGGGUUAAAUCAGAGAGGGGCAGAGAGGGCUGAAUCUGGCCUGUGCCUGUUUGACCAUGGGCUGGGAUCCACGAGGGUGAGGCACUAGGGAAAAUGGAAGAAAAGCAACACAAAAUCAAUGGAACCAAUAUUAUACAUGCCAAAUAUUAAGGUUUUUGAAAAUAAGCAGAGAUAACUAUAAAAGGUCUGUGUCUAGCUGGAUAAAAAUAGUUAUAGGUUUUGUACAGAGAGGAAAAGCACAAGCAAAUAGACUUGUGUUGUAAGAAUUCCUUUAUGCGAGUGGAAAGACCUGUGUUUCUCGCAGCAGAGAAUGUUACACCACCAGUCGUUCUCUUUGCAAUCCAGUGCCAGUGUGGCCAAGCAGCAGCAGCACAGGAAAACUGAGUAGCUGUGAUGGAAAUCAGCAAGUCCAUAGUAAAACCCACAACACCAGCUGGAAACAAAGCAGGACGCAGUUCUGGUUGUCUACCCUCCUUUUGUCUGCCAUCGGCAGGCUCUGAGAGAUCACAGGGUGGUGCUGAGGUGAAGCAGGACUGCUGAAUUAGGAUCUCUUCCCUCCCCAGCAACUUGGAAAUGCUUUACUUACUUUGUCAACUGUACAGACUCCAGGUACUGAACUGAGGACACCAUCUGCUUGGAGCAAGACAGCAUGUGGAAGGAACACAGCCAAGUGCUAGAGCAUACAGCAUCCCACCAGUGCUUCUUCCAGGAGUGGAGGCCAGUCUUUAGGCUUUAGACCCUCUUAGCCCUAUUGGACAAAAUUUUUGUAGCUUCUUAAGGACAAACUUCGGUGCUAUUCAUUGGGAAUGUAGUAAAGACCAACCAGCCUUUCUCUAUUUGCAGAGUAAUGCUUAUUUUCACAUUAUAAUUUGCAGAGCUUGGGGCCUAUAAGAAAGAUAGGGACAGACUUUUUAGCAGGGCCUGUUACAGUAGAGCAAGGGUAAUGGUUUUAAUUUAAAAGAAAGGAGAUUCAGGUUAGACAUGAGGAAGAAAUUUUUCACAGUGGGGGUGGUGAAACACUGGCCCAGGUUGCCCAGAGAGGUGGUGGAUGCCCCAUCCCUGGUGACAUUCAAGGCCAGGCUGGAUGGGGCUCUGAGCAACCUGAUCUGGUUGAAGAUGUCCCUGCUCAUUGCAGGAGGGUUGGACUGGAUGACUUUUGAAGGCCCCUUCCAACCCAAACUGUUCUGUGAUUCUGUGAACAAAUAACUGUGCAACUGUAUCACUAAAGACAUUUCUUAACAAACUGUGCCAACAAAAAUAAUUCUAAUUAUCUGUAGUAUCUCAGAUGCUUACACAUCUCUGGCCAGAAACUGUCUGGAAGGGACUCUAAAACCAUCCUCCUCCAGAACUACUCACAAGAGUAGAUUGAAGUCCACAAAAUGGCCCAGACUUCACACUCAGUAUGACUCCUGAAGACACCAAAGUAGCUUUAGUGACUUCUGCAGGACACGCUCUGUGCUAGCCCUUGGUUUAUUGUCUACCUACUCCAUCUUUGACCAAUAUUUCUAAUGAAAUUUGCUCUUAACAGCAGUUACUUCAUAGGGUUCCCUGUGCAUUGCACCAGGAUUCUGCCUCUCGGUGGGAUGGCCAGGUUCUUUGCUUGUGCCAAGUGAGAUACAAGGGCCCAGGCUUGCAGGUAGAGGUUAUGGGAAUUAGAUGGCAGUGGAACUGCUGAGUUCUACAUGCUCAAGAGAUGUUUUAAUCAAAUGUCAUUUUUACAAACAGAACAAGGCAAGUGAAAGAGGUUUUUUGCAGCUUAUUUUUUCUCUUCCUUUUCUGGCAAUGAUCAGUUAGUAAGACACUUCCCAAAUUCUGAAGUUAUUUUAAUCUUGGUGGGUCAGAGUUACUUUUUCAGUCUUUAAAUACAGAGAACAGAGAAGUUACCUGUCCUUGUAGCCUCACGUGGUGAGCCCACAGCAGAAGUGGGAACGUCCCCGAGCAUCCCGGUCCUGCCCAGCCAGUCUGUUCCCAGCCCCACUGCCGGCUUGUCCCAAAGGAUACAGCCUGAGGCAGGGCUUGGGGGUGACAAAGCCAUGCAGAGGGAAACCCCACAUCAUCUUAGUGCACAAAAGUACACAGUGUGUAAAAAACUACAAUCCCAUCUUCUGCCAGGGCCUUCCCAGAGCACUGACACCCCCUAUCAGUAGCAGAGGCCAAUGUGGUUGCACACAUAGUGAUUAUUCCCCACUCACAGUCGCUGUGAGGGGCAGGUUUGUGUCUGGAAACCACUUCUCAUGGCUGAGUCGCCCCUUGCUGCAGGACCCUGUGAGGAUGGCAAAGUGUUGGCUCCAGAAGUGCUUUUGAAAGAUAGAGUACAAGUGAAGGAAUCAGACUGACUUCUCCCAGGAAUGGGAAAAGAAAGUGGGGAUGAGGAACAAGGUAAAGUCAUUGGACUCCACUAAUUAGGGAAGCUCAUUCUUGGGAUCUAACUUUUGAAUCUCCAUGUCUGGUCUCCUCUGCUGAGAAGUUAAAGACCUUUAGCUUGAGAUCCUCAGACAAUAAACACCUUAGAAAAAUCAGGCCAAACAUAUAAAAAUCACUGUGUACUUAAGAAAUUGUGGGCUCUGCACACUGCAUUAGAAGCCUGUUUUCAAUAGCCCCAGAGUUACACUUCCCAAACAGAAAAUGCUUGUGCUUUUUCAAUCAUCGGAAUUAUAUUGUAGAUUCAGGGCUUGGCUGCUGUUGGAAAGAGCAUAGAGAAUGAAAUGUAGUGUAGAUCCUACUGGGUAACACAUUCCUUAAUGGCAUUUUUAAAGCAUUCCACAUUGGCAAUAAAAUAUAGAAAGGAGGAGAACAGAGGACAGCCUUCACUGAAAAUGGAAGAGAAAAAAAUCAAAAUCACAAGAGCUUUUCAGUGGUGUGGCUGUGGCAUCGCUCUGUCUGCUGCUCAGAGCAGACGUUGUUUCCAAAAUACACACAGCACAAAUCCAGCAGAGCAAGACUUGAAUAGCUAGUCAUGGUCCCCUGGAUUUAAAUAGGUUGCCAACUCCCUAUGGAAAGGGACACCAAAAAUAACUAAAUCUGGAUCACUGGAGUAUUCCAGUUGCCCCUCAAAUAAACAACCUCUGCAGAAACAUUUGAUUUCCAGCAGUUUCCCAUUGAAACUACAAAGAUCUGGUCAUGGUGCCCAGUGACAUGUGAAACUGUUAAUCCCAUUCUCAGGAUGAUUAGGGGUAUUUAUUUGUGAGAAGGAUGUGAUUUAUCACAAAAGAGUGGAGAAUUUCACAGGACGGUACCAGGCUCCAUACAAUUGUGGUGGAAAGGUCAGCACCAAGCAGGAAUUGUUUUGCACGGUCCUGGAAAUGUUUUAGUUCUUCUUCCAAGUGAGUCCUGCUGAAGGCCAAGCUUACAAAUGGGCUUAAGAGGGACUUCAGCUGAGGCAUCCUACUAAGAUCCAUCCCCAAGUCUUUCAUCAUGUCGUAGGCGGUCAGUGAUAAAGAGGGAGAGGGAAGAAAUGUGACAGGCAGGUGCAUGCGUGACAGUCUGUUUCUCAUUAAUGUCUUGCCUUUAAUCACAAAUAAUCAGAGCCUGACUUAGUCCCCAAAAUGGGAGACUUCUGUCCCUUUUCCAAAAUACUUUUGAUUACAAACUAUCAUUGCAUAGUCUUGCUGACUACAGAACUGGUCAGGUGUCUUUGAUUUGACUUCAAUGACAAUCUACAGACAGGCUGUCCAGAGCCAAACUGUGUGAAAUAAAAGCAAUUUUCUUGUUUGGGUGAAAGAUAUUUGCUAUUUCAGUUAUACACGAGUGGUAGUGCUCUGGGGGAAUGUUGCACCUGGAAUUUCAGAAGAUAUUUUGCCAAGAAACCACUGCUUGUAGAAAAUCUGCUUGCAGCAGUGCACCUUUGAGUCCUCUCUUCCUCCUUUAGUUUUGUUUUUGUUUUCAGGAAGCCAUCAUUCCCACAGCUUGGGAAAGAAGGGAGAGCUGCAUUCAUAAGACCUGCAAGGACAGCCAGUGCUCCCAGGGAGCUUCUGCAAACACAUCGCAGCAGGCGAGGAGCAGCACUGUCCUGAGACCAGGCCGCACCAGCGAGCUGAUGGUGGUUUCCUGCUUCUGGGACAGACCGGAGCAAUUGCUUUGUAAUCCGAUUGAGUUUUGGCCAGAACACAGCCCGGGAGAGUCUCUGCUGAGCCAUUCCUCUUCGACAGCUGGCAGCAAUUUGUGGACGGCAGGAACGCCUGCCGAGCUUUCGGCGCAGAGGUGGAUCCGGGCUUUGGCAGAGCUCGCCAAUGUGAGAGACACCUGCUCCUGCCUCCCAGCUCCCACCUGCUCAUAAAAGCCUCAGUGUCUCUCAAGACAGAAAUUUUCCUAUCACUGGUGAAAUGUGGGAGCCCUCAGCAUAAAAAAACAUCCCUCUUUC
Long non-coding RNA from Columba livia (rock pigeon), 12922 nucleotides. RefSeq lists it as uncharacterized. The record is from RefSeq and is a predicted model, not a curated record. The transcript has 2 exons. Lineage: Eukaryota; Metazoa; Chordata; Aves; Columbiformes; Columbidae.